Coffea eugenioides is the source of this 107-nucleotide small nucleolar RNA. Lineage: Eukaryota; Viridiplantae; Streptophyta; Magnoliopsida; Gentianales; Rubiaceae. The record is from RefSeq and is a predicted model, not a curated record.
AUUUGGUGUUAAGGACACUUGAUGCAUAAUUUCUUGAAUCGCUCCCAAUAUUCAUAAAGUGACUCUCCUGGAUGUUGCUCGAUACCGCAUAUCUCCUUUCUUAGACU